CCUACGGGAGGCAGCAGUGAGGAAUAUUGGUCAAUGGACGAGAGUCUGAACCAGCCAAGUAGCGUGAAGGAUGACUGCCCUAUGGGUUGUAAACUUCUUUUAUAUGGGAAUAAAACGUUCCACGUGUGGGAUUUUGUAUGUACCAUAUGAAUAAGGAUCGGCGAACUCCGUGCCAGCAGCCGCGGUAAUACGGAGGAUCCGAGCGUUAUCCGGAUUUAUUGGGUUUAAAGGGAGCGUAGGUGGAUUGUUAAGUCAGUUGUGAAAGUUUGCGGCUCAACCGUAAAAUUGCAGUUGAAACUGGCAGUCUUGAGUACAGUAGAGGUGGGCGGAAUUCGUGGUGUAGCGGUGAAAUGCUUAGAUAUCACGAAGAACUCCGAUUGCGAAGGCAGUUCACUGGACUGCAACUGACACUGAGGCUAGAAAGUGUGGGUAUCAAACAGGAUUAGAUACCCUGGUAGUC
This 460-nucleotide ribosomal RNA is filed under the name uncultured bacterium. Its description in RNAcentral is "partial 16S ribosomal RNA". It matches the Rfam family "Bacterial small subunit ribosomal RNA", at positions 338 to 795 of the family's 1533-position model. The record is from RNAcentral.